AUAAAUAAUAAAUUUUAUGAUUUUGGAAAUUUUUUUUAAGUUUAUUUUACAUAUAAAUUUUAGUAUGAAAUUUUAAUUAUUUUAAUAAUAAUUAAUUUUAUUUGUAGUAAUUAACAUUAAAAAUUUAAGAAAUUAAGAUUUAGUAAUAUUGAAAUUAAUAACAAAUUUUGUGCCAGCAGUUGCGGUUAAACAAAAGUUAAAUUGAAUUUUAUUAGAAUAUUAAUAAAUAUAAUUAAUUAUUUAAUUUAAAUAUUAAAUUAUUAGGUGAAAUUUUAAUUUAAUUAAAAUUUAUGAUAAUAUAUGAUUUAAUAAAUUUUAUUAUAAACUAGGAUUAGAUACCCUAUUAUUAAAAAUUUAAAUAAAAAAUGCUAAAAUAGUAUAUAAUUAUUUAUUGAAACUUAAAUAACUUGGCGGUAUUUUAGUUCAUUUAGAGGAAUCUGUUUAUUAAUUGAUAAUCCACGAAUAACUUUACUUAAUUAAAAAUUUUGUAUAUCGUUGUUAAAAAAAUAUUUUUAAAUAAAUUUAAUAUUUUAAAAUUUAUAAUAAAAAUUAAAUCAGGUCAAGAUGCAGAUUAUAAUUAAGAAUAUAAUGGAUUACAAUAAAUUUAUUUAUACGAAUAUUUAAUUGAAAUAUUAAAUUGAAGGUGGAUUUAAAUGUAAUUUUAUUUAAUUUAUUAAAAUGAUUAAAAAUUAAAAUAUGUACAUAUUGCCCGUCGCUUUCAUAUAUAAGUUGAAAUAAGUCGUAACAAAGUAGAGGUACUGGAAAGUGUUUCUAGAAAGAA
Molecule: non-coding RNA, 781 nt
Filed under: Bactra venosana
Lineage: Eukaryota; Metazoa; Arthropoda; Insecta; Lepidoptera; Tortricidae
Source: RNAcentral